This 443-nucleotide ribosomal RNA is filed under the name uncultured KB1 group bacterium. RNAcentral describes it as "bacterial SSU rRNA". It matches the Rfam family "Bacterial small subunit ribosomal RNA", at positions 505 to 946 of the family's 1533-position model. Lineage: Bacteria; Candidatus Calescibacteriota. The record is from RNAcentral.
GUGCCAGCAGCCGCGGUAAGACGAAGGGCGCAAGCGUUAUCCGGAAUUACUGGGCGUAAAGGGCGUCUAGGCGGCCAGUCAAGUCGACGUUGAAAUUCCUCGGCUAAACUGAGGGAGGUACGUCGAAACUGACCGGCUAGAGGGACGUAGAGGUAAGCGGAACUCUCGGAGUAGCGGUGAAAUGCGUAGAGACCGAGAGGUACCCCGAUGGUGAAGACAGCUUACUGGGCGUCUCCUGACGCUGAAGCGCUAAGGCCAGGGGAGCGAAGGGGAUUAGAUACCCCCGUAGUCCUGGCUUCAAACGAUGUGGGCUUGGUGUCGGCCCCCUAUAGAGGGUCGUUGCCGGAGUUAACGCGUUAAGCCCACCGCCUGGGGAUUACGUCCGCAAGGAUGAAACUCAAGGGAAUUGACGGGGGCCCCCACAACCGGUGGAGCACGUGGUU